RNAcentral lists this microRNA precursor (56 nucleotides) under Monodelphis domestica (gray short-tailed opossum). Its description in RNAcentral is "Mdo-Mir-193-P1b_pre stem-loop". It matches the Rfam family "mir-193 microRNA precursor family", at positions 10 to 68 of the family's 76-position model. Lineage: Eukaryota; Metazoa; Chordata; Mammalia; Didelphimorphia; Didelphidae. The record is from RNAcentral.
UGGGUCUUUGUGGGCGAGAUGAGGGUGUCAGUUCAACUGGCCUACAAAGUCCCAGU